Cyprinus carpio (common carp) is the source of this 248-nucleotide long non-coding RNA. RefSeq lists it as uncharacterized. The record is from RefSeq and is a predicted model, not a curated record. Lineage: Eukaryota; Metazoa; Chordata; Actinopteri; Cypriniformes; Cyprinidae. The transcript has 3 exons.
GCCAUCUUCACUAGUUGGUGAUAUAUCAACAGUUCUUUAUGCUGAUUUUAUAGGAAAGGUGUUUGGUCUUAAUCUCCAGAUCAAGAAAACAUUAGAAUCUGAGACACGUCCUUUGUCUCCUGUGGCAAUCACCAAAGCAGGGAAACUCAGUGGACCAUUUUUUGAGACGAUGUUAACAAAGGAGUGUCUGGAGGAGUUAAAAACUGAUGGAUGCUUCAUUCGCUUAUUAGCCAGAAGAAUUUCCCCAA